GAAUGUGAGGGUGGUGCGGCUGUGACAUCCAUCACCCCACCGUUGGCUGGGGUUGAUUCGGCUGCUCUGGCUCGCUGGUGGGCACCCCCAAGCCUCUCUCCCGAAGCUGCACAUUUGAUCAGAGAGGACAAAAGCUGUGCUCCCCUGAUAGAACCUCUGGACAGGCUCUCAAAAUAAAAAUACAAAAUGGACAGUGUCCCUCAGCGGAAGGCGGCACAAUGUGGUGCUUGCUUCUCCGU
Cavia aperea (Brazilian guinea pig) is the source of this 239-nucleotide unclassified non-coding RNA. Its record names the gene 7SK. It matches the Rfam family "7SK RNA". Rfam says of the family: 7SK was discovered as an abundant small nuclear RNA in the mid-70s but a possible function has only recently been suggested. Two independent studies have found that 7SK RNA binds the CDK9/cyclin T complex (known as elongation factor P-TEFb). Lineage: Eukaryota; Metazoa; Chordata; Mammalia; Rodentia; Caviidae. The record is from Ensembl.